GACGAACGCUGGCGGCGUGCUUAACACAUGCAAGUCGAGCGGAAAGGCCACUUCGGUGGUACUCGAGCGGCGAACGGGUGAGUAACACGUGAGUAAUCUGCCCCUGGCUUUGGGAUAGCCACCGGAAACGGUGAUUAAUACCGGAUAUGACACAUUCUCGCAUGAGUUUGUGUGGAAAGUUUUUCGGCCAGGGAUGUGCUCGCGGCCUAUCAGCUUGAUGGUGAGGUAAUGGCUCACCAUGGCUUCGACGGGUAGCCGGCCUGAGAGGGUGACCGGUCACACUGGGACUGGGCCACGGCCCAGACUCCUACGGGAGGAAGCGGGGGGGAAUUUUGGAAAAGGGGGGGAAGCCUGAUCCAGCACCCCCGGGGGGGGGAUGACGGCCUUGGGGUUGUAAACCUUUUUCAGUACCGACGAAGCGCAAGUGGGGGUAGGAACAGAAGAAGCCCCGCCCAACUACGU
Molecule: ribosomal RNA, 462 nt
Filed under: uncultured bacterium
Lineage: Bacteria
Description: partial 16S ribosomal RNA
Rfam family: Bacterial small subunit ribosomal RNA
Source: RNAcentral